AUCAACUGUUUAAAAGAUGGUUCUGCUAUCACUCUUGGAUGGACCUGCGGUGCAUUAGCUAGUUGGUAGGGUAACGGCCUACCAAGGCGAUGAUGCAUAGCCGAGUUGAGAGACUGAUCGGCCACAUUGGGACUGAGACACGGCCCAAACUCCUACGGGAGGCAGCAGUAGGGAAUCUUCCACAAUGGACGCAAGUCUGAUGGAGCAACGCCGCGUGAGUGAAGAAGGUUUUCGGAUCGUAAAGCUCUGUUGUUGGUGAAGAAGGAUAGAGGUAGUAACUGGCCUUUAUUUGACGGUAAUCAACCAGAAAGUCACGGCUAACUACGUGCCAGCAGCCGCGGUAAAU
This 346-nucleotide ribosomal RNA is filed under the name uncultured Lactobacillus sp. Its description in RNAcentral is "bacterial SSU rRNA". It matches the Rfam family "Bacterial small subunit ribosomal RNA", at positions 191 to 525 of the family's 1533-position model. The record is from RNAcentral. Lineage: Bacteria; Bacillati; Bacillota; Bacilli; Lactobacillales; Lactobacillaceae.